RNAcentral lists this ribosomal RNA (918 nucleotides) under uncultured marine bacterium. Its description in RNAcentral is "bacterial SSU rRNA". It matches the Rfam family "Bacterial small subunit ribosomal RNA", at positions 8 to 916 of the family's 1533-position model. The record is from RNAcentral.
AGAGUUUGAUCCUGGCUCAGAUUGAACGCUGGCAGCAUGCUUUACACAUGCAAGUCGAACGGCAGCAUAGAGAGCUUGCUCUCUGAUGGCGAGUGGCGAACGGGUGAGUAAUACAUCGGAACAUACCUUUAAGUGGGGGAUAGCUCGGCGAAAGCCGAAUUAAUACCGCAUAGUCUCUUCGGAGUAAAGUGGGGGACCCUCGGGCCUCAUGCUUAAAGAGUGGCCGAUGUCGGAUUAGCUUGUUGGUGAGGUAAUGGCUCACCAAGGCUGCGAUCCGUAACUGGUCUGAGAGGAUGAUCAGUCACACUGGAACUGAGACACGGUCCAGACUCCUACGGGAGGCAGCAGUGGGGAAUUUUGGACAAUGGGGGAAACCCUGAUCCAGCGAUGCUGCGUGCGGGAAGAAGGCCUUAGGGUUGUAAACCGCUUUCAGCUAGGAAGAAAAGGUUAUAGUUAAUAUCUAUAACUCAUGACGGUACUAGCAGAAGAAGCACCGGCUAACUACGUGCCAGCAGCCGCGGUAAUACGUAGGGUGCAAGCGUUAAUCGGAAUUACUGGGCGUAAAGAGUGCGCAGGCGGCUCUUUAAGACAGGUGUGAAAUCCCCGAGCUCAACUUGGGAAUUGCGCUUGUGACUGAAGAGCUAGAGUGCAGAAGAGGGGGAUAGAAUUCCUGGUGUAGCAGUGAAAUGCGUAGAUAUCAGGAGGAAUACCAAUGGCGAAGGCAGUCCCCUGGGCUAGCACUGACGCUCAUGCACGAAAGCGUGGGGAGCAAACAGGAUUAGAUACCCUGGUAGUCCACGCCCUAAACGAUGUCAACUAGUUGUUGGAAGAGGAGACUCUUUAAGUAACGAAGCUAACGCGUGAAGUUGACCGCCUGGGGAGUACGGUCGCAAGAUUAAAACUCAAAGGAAUUGACGG